UGGAGAUCCCUGCCUAUUUGGGGCCUUCUGAAGACAGAAGGAAGAGGCUAGGAGAGCAUGUUUGCUCAUAGAGAGAAGAUAUUUGGGAGGGCAGCUGGUGUGCUUCAGCUGGCCAGGGCUGACAGCUUGCGGGUGUUGUGGCAACAGAAGCUGACUCCUUUAAUCUGGAGCAGGAGUAUGAAUGAGGUCACAGCCUUUCACAGAACACUGGUUAUGCAGUAGUCCUUGGACCAUAUCCUGGUUUUAUAUUGCCUUAUAAGUUCUCUAGUGUAAGAUCUUUCCGUCUAGAAACAGAGGCAUGUACAUACAAUACUGCUACAUAUUUCCUGAAAAACUGAACGGAGAGGAAGACUGAAGAAAUAUGAAAAGAAAUGAUCCACAUACAGGCCUGUCUUUAGAAGACUAGCGGCUAAAAAAUGGAGUCCACUGGGACCCUGAACUGUGAGUGAAUGGAAGGCGUGUCUGAAGUCUGUACCCCUUGAGAGUCCGAUUGCUUUGGGAACUGUUCCUCUAAAGCUAAUCAAAUGGUCUGUCCUCCACAAGUUUUUCCUGUUCUUACAUGGUAGAUUAGCCUGACUUGUACAAGCCUCUUGUAAAAUUGUGUGGAAGAAUUUCAUGCCUUGUAGUAGAGUAUUCCCUUACCAAUUUCAACAUCACAGAGUGGGGAUCAGGCCCCUCUCUGAAGGACCUGAAGUGCUUAAGUUUGAAAACCAUCUCCUGAAUGGGAAGACAAAUAGCUGAGCUGUAUGAAAAUAAACAGUA
This is a long non-coding RNA of Numida meleagris (helmeted guineafowl), 762 nucleotides long. RefSeq lists it as uncharacterized. Lineage: Eukaryota; Metazoa; Chordata; Aves; Galliformes; Numididae. The transcript has 3 exons. The record is from RefSeq and is a predicted model, not a curated record.